RNAcentral lists this transfer RNA (84 nucleotides) under Actinocatenispora thailandica. Its description in RNAcentral is "tRNA-Leu". It matches the Rfam family "tRNA". Rfam says of the family: Transfer RNA (tRNA) molecules are approximately 80 nucleotides in length. Their secondary structure includes four short double-helical elements and three loops (D, anti-codon, and T loops). RNAcentral also lists the same sequence under 1 other name. Lineage: Bacteria; Bacillati; Actinomycetota; Actinomycetes; Micromonosporales; Micromonosporaceae. The record is from RNAcentral.
GCCCGGGUGGUGGAAGAGGCAGACACGGCCGCCUUAAAAGCGGCUGCCGAAAGGCGUGCGGGUUCGAGCCCCGCUCCGGGCACC